CCUGGGAGUAACAGUAAGGACUUACAUUCCCAAUUUGUUAACAUCUGACAGGGAUUUAAUCACAGCUAUGAUUCUUUUAUUUAAUGCUCCAACAGAAUUUAUGUGUUUUCCAAAGAACAUUUUCAUGGUCCUUCGUCUUAUCUCCUGCAAUUUAACUCCAUAGACGAUGGGAUUUAAAAGAGGAGGCAACAGAACAAAAUUUAUUGACAUCAUAGUACGAACCACAUGGGGCAUAUUACUGAGGUCAAAACGAUGUUGAAGAAUUUCAAAAAAUGUGGCGACGCUGUAGUUUGUGAAGCUCAGUAAAUGAGGGGUACAGGUCUGUAGAGCUUUAGCACGAGCUUCCUUUGUAGAUUUCAGACACACUGCCAGGAUUCUGACAUAAGAGUAGAUGAUGACAGCGAAUGGAAAACACAUCACAGUAACGGUCACGACAUAACCAAAGGAACUGUUUACAGACACAUCUGAGCAUGACAGCCUGACAACUGACCAGUUAUCACA
Molecule: long non-coding RNA, 501 nt
Filed under: Lepisosteus oculatus (spotted gar)
Lineage: Eukaryota; Metazoa; Chordata; Actinopteri; Semionotiformes; Lepisosteidae
Description: lncRNA (ENSLOCG00000022160.1)
Source: RNAcentral